RNAcentral lists this long non-coding RNA (1065 nucleotides) under Struthio camelus australis. RNAcentral describes it as "lncRNA (ENSSCUG00000004610.1)". The record is from RNAcentral. Lineage: Eukaryota; Metazoa; Chordata; Aves; Struthioniformes; Struthionidae.
CUGGGUCUGAUAUUGUUCAACUUAUUCAUCCAUCCCUUUGAUGAAGGGACGAAGUGCCUCCUCAGCAAGUUUGCUGAUGAUACCAAACUGGGAGAAGUGGCUAACACACCAGAGGGCUGUGCUGCCAUUCAGAGGGACCUGGACAGGCUGGAGAGCUGGGCCGAGAGGAACCUCCUGAAGUUCAGCAAAGGCAAGUGCAGGGUCCUGCAGCUGGGGAAGAAUAACCUCAUGCACCAGUACAGGCUGGGGGUUGACUUACUGGAAAGCAGCUCUGUGGAGAAGGACCUGGGAGUGCUGGUGGAAAACAAGUUGACCGUUAGUCAGCAACGUGCCUUUAUGGCCAAGAAGGCCAAUGGUCUCCUGCGGUGCAUUAGGCAGAGUGUUGCCAGCAGGUUGAGGGAGGUGAUCCUCCCCUUCUACUCAGCUCUGGUGAGGCCACAUCUGGAGUCCUGUGUCCAGUUCUGGGCUCCCCAGUACAAGAGAGACAUGGAGCUCCUGGAGCAAGUCCAGCGGAGGUCUACUAAGAUGAUUAAGGGACUGGAGCAUCUCUCAUAUGAAGCGAGGCAGAGAGAGCUGGGCCUGUUCAGCCUGGAAAAGAGAAGACUGAGGAGGGAUGUGAUCAAUGUGUACAAGUAUCUAAAGGGAAAGUGUCAAGAGGAUGGGGCCAGUCUCUUCUCCGUGGUGUCCAGCAAUAGGAGGAGAGGCAAUAGGCCCAAACUGAAGCACAGGAAGCUCUAUCUGAACGUGAGGAGAAACUUCUUUACAGUGCGGAUGACUGAGCACUGGCACAGGUUGCCGAGAGAGGUUGUGGAAGGAGUUCCCUGGAGAUAUUCAAAAGCUGUCUGGACACUUUCCUGGGUAACAUGCUCUAGAGGACCCUGCUUGAGCAGGGGGGCUGGACUAGAUGAUCUCCAGAGGUCCCUUCCAACUUCAACCAUUCUGUGAUUCUUUUGAGUGUACACCAACUUCUGUGUUCUGGAGAUCUGCUGUCCUGUUAAAAUAUUUGAGAGUUGUAAAUGUGAAUCAAAAAUGAAUAGCCGUAUUUGAAAAUAUCUAAAAUGUGUG